GACGAACGCUGGCGGCGUGCUUAACACAUGCAAGUCGAGCGGUAAGGCCCUUUCGGGGGUACACGAGCGGCGAACGGGUGAGUAACACGUGGGUGACCUGCCCUCAGCUCUGGGAUAAGCCUGGGAAACCGGGUCUAAUACCGGAUAUGACUCCAUGACGCAUGUUGUGGGGUGGAAAGCCUUGUGCGGCCGAGGAUGGGCCCGCGGCCUAUCAGCUUGUUGGUGGGGUGAUGGCCACCAAGGCGACGACGGGUAGCCGGCCUGAGAGGGCGACCGGCCACACUGGGACUGAGACACGGCCCAGACUCCUACGGGAGGCAGCAGUGGGGAAUCUUGCGCAAUGGGCGAAAGCCUGACGCAGCGACGCCGCGUGAGGGAUGACGGCCU
Molecule: ribosomal RNA, 387 nt
Filed under: uncultured bacterium
Lineage: Bacteria
Description: bacterial SSU rRNA
Rfam family: Bacterial small subunit ribosomal RNA
Source: RNAcentral